This 497-nucleotide ribosomal RNA is filed under the name uncultured bacterium. RNAcentral's name for it is "partial 16S ribosomal RNA". It matches the Rfam family "Bacterial small subunit ribosomal RNA", at positions 28 to 507 of the family's 1533-position model. The record is from RNAcentral.
GAUGAACGCUGGCGGCGUGCCUAAUACAUGCAAGUCGAGCGAACAGACGAGGAGCUUUCUCCUCUUACGUUAGCGGCGGACGGGUGAGUAACACGUGGAUAACCUACCUAUAAGACUGGGAUAACUUCGGGAAACCGGAGCUAAUACCGGAUAAUAUAUUGAACCGCAUGGUUCAAUAGUGAAAGACGGUUUUGCUGUCAUUUAUAGAUGGAUCCGCGCCGCAUUAGCUAGUUGGUAAGGUAACGGCUUACCAAGGCAACGAUGCGUAGCCGACCUGAGAGGGUGAUCGGCCACACUGGAACUGAGACACGGUCCAGACUCCUACGGGAGGCAGCAGUAGGGAAUCUUGCGCAAUGGGCGAAAGCCUGACGGAGCAACGCCGCGUGAGUGAUGAAGGUCUUCGGAUCGUAAAACUCUGUUAUUAGGGAAGAACAAAUGUGUAAGUAAAUAUGCACGUCUUGACGGUACCUAAUCAGAAAGCCACGGCUAACUACGUG